AGCAUCUUGGCAGAGCAGUUAAGCAUUUGGCUGCUAACCAAAAGUCGGCAGUUCGAAUCCACCAGCUGCUC
RNAcentral lists this transfer RNA (71 nucleotides) under Loxodonta africana (African savanna elephant). It matches the Rfam family "tRNA". From Rfam's summary of the family: Transfer RNA (tRNA) molecules are approximately 80 nucleotides in length. The record is from Rfam by way of RNAcentral. Lineage: Eukaryota; Metazoa; Chordata; Mammalia; Proboscidea; Elephantidae.